GGAUCUACAGCUCAGUGGUAGAGGGCCUGCCUUGCAUGCAUGAGACCCUGGGUUUGAUUCCCAGUACCU
Molecule: transfer RNA, 69 nt
Filed under: Marmota marmota marmota (Alpine marmot)
Lineage: Eukaryota; Metazoa; Chordata; Mammalia; Rodentia; Sciuridae
Also listed under: 3 other names
Rfam family: tRNA
About the family: Transfer RNA (tRNA) molecules are approximately 80 nucleotides in length. Their secondary structure includes four short double-helical elements and three loops (D, anti-codon, and T loops). Further hydrogen bonds mediate the characteristic L-shaped molecular structure. tRNAs have two regions of fundamental functional importance: the anti-codon, which is responsible for specific mRNA codon recognition, and the 3' end, to which the tRNAs corresponding amino acid is attached (by aminoacyl-tRNA synthetases). tRNAs cope with the degeneracy of the genetic code in two manners: having more than one tRNA (with a specific anti-codon) for a particular amino acid; and 'wobble' base-pairing, i.e. permitting non-standard base-pairing at the 3rd anti-codon position.
Source: Rfam by way of RNAcentral